GUAAGGAAUAUUGGUCAAUGGACGAAAGUCUGAACCAGCCAUGCCGCGUGAAGGAUGAAGGCCCUCUGGGUUGUAAACUUCUUUUAUAGGGGACGAAAAAAGCUCAUUCUUGAGCACUUGACGGUACCCUAGGAAUAAGCACCGGCUAACUCCGUGCCAGCAGCCGCGGUAAUACGGAGGGUGCAAGCGUUAUCCGGAUUUACUGGGUUUAAAGGGUGCGUAGGUGGGUCUGUAAGUCAGUGGUGAAAUCUCCGGGCUUAACCCGGAAACUGCCAUUGAUACUAUAGGUCUUGAAUAUCCUGGAGGUGAGCGGAAUAUGUCAUGUAGCGGUGAAAUGCUUAGAUAUGACAUAGAACACCAAUUGCGAAGGCAGCUCACUACGGGAUUAUUGACACUGAGGCACGAAAGCGUGGGGAUCAAACAGGAUUAGAAACCCCAGUAGUCC
Molecule: ribosomal RNA, 445 nt
Filed under: uncultured bacterium
Lineage: Bacteria
Description: bacterial SSU rRNA
Rfam family: Bacterial small subunit ribosomal RNA
Source: RNAcentral